CUACGGGAGGCAGCAGUAAGGAAUAUUGCGCAAUGGACGACAGUCUGACGCAGCGACGCCGCGUGGGAGAUGAAGGUCUUCGGAUUGUAAACCCCUUUCGGGAGGGAAGAUGGAAUAGGGUAACCUAUUCGGACGGUACCUCCAGAAGCAGCCACGGCUAACUUCGUGCCAGCAGCCGCGGUAAUACGAAGGUGGCAAGCGUUGUUCGGAUUUACUGGGCGUACAGGGAGCGUAGGCGGUUGGAUAAGCCCUCCGUGAAAUCUCCAGGCUUAACCUGGAAAGUGCAGAGGGGACUGUUCAGCUAGAGGAUGGGAGAGGAGCGCGGAAUUCCCGGUGUAGCGGUGAAAUGCGUAGAGAUCGGGAGGAAGGCCGGUGGCGAAGGCGGCGCUCUGGAACAUUUCUGACGCUGAGGCUCGAAAGCGUGGGGAGCAAACAGGAUUAGAAACCCGAGUAGUCC
Molecule: ribosomal RNA, 457 nt
Filed under: uncultured bacterium
Lineage: Bacteria
Description: bacterial SSU rRNA
Rfam family: Bacterial small subunit ribosomal RNA
Source: RNAcentral